Long non-coding RNA from Bombyx mori (domestic silkworm), 546 nucleotides. RefSeq lists it as uncharacterized. The record is from RefSeq and is a predicted model, not a curated record. Lineage: Eukaryota; Metazoa; Arthropoda; Insecta; Lepidoptera; Bombycidae. The transcript has 2 exons.
UUAUUUCUUGUUACUUUAUUUAAACGAGAAGCCAAAUAUUGUGCAGUUUUCAGUUACCUUGAUUAUUUUUAAAGAAAGUGCAUAUUUUGACUCACUCAUCAAUUUGACGGUUGCCGUAGGGAUAAGCUUUGUAAAAACGUUCAUGAACCUAGUGAUAAAAACUUCGGCAGAUUUCGAGGCUACUAAUUAGCAACAAUAACAACCACGUUUACUAAAGCUUUUCAAUACAAAUGAAACUAGUUAUAGCUACACAUUAAAAUAAGUUCAUGAUAGACAGAGAUCGAACUAUUUUGAAUAGAGACGUCAAAGUUUAAUCCGCCAACAAAACUCAACCAAAAUUCGACAGCAAGUUGGCUCGAAUCUGAGUAUUCUGGAAGAGAGCCUUAAUUAGAUUCCGUAACUCUUCGGUUCUGAAGUGGACCGCCAAGGGACCGGUACCAUCCUUCCAGUGGUUGUCGAUAUCCUUCAGAGACCCUCCAAGGACAAAGAUUAGCUCCUGCAGCUUUAUCCAGGAUUUGACGUGAGUUUCUAUAUCUGUUGAACUCU